Molecule: unclassified non-coding RNA, 2478 nt
Filed under: Hevea brasiliensis (rubber tree)
Lineage: Eukaryota; Viridiplantae; Streptophyta; Magnoliopsida; Malpighiales; Euphorbiaceae
Source: RNAcentral
AAUCAAUAAAGGUAAAUUUAAAAAGCACAUUAAAAUAAUGUUGACGCAUCUUACAUCUUGCUUUUGGCAAUGGAAAUGAAAUCCAAACUUCAAUUAUUACAAUGACUAACACAGAUCAAUAAUAAUCGUAUCAAUAGAGCUUUCAUGUUCUUCAAGCACUAGCAAAAGCCUACAUUUUUGCAUAGAUUCUAGACAGAUAAUUGGUUGAGCCAAACUGAAAUUGAAUUAAUACAAAUAUCAACCAAGUUAAACCAUAACAUGCACCAAUGCCUGUUGAUGCAGAGGAUUGCUACCAACACCAAUAGAAUUGUGACAUAGGAUGCACAGAAACUCCAAUAGAACCACACCAUAUCAAUACCACCUUCAUCUUCCUCUUCUACAUCAAUAGAUGGUGAUGAUGGUGGAGUUUCAUCAGUUUUACAGCUCCUAUGAAUGAGUAGUCCGCAAAGGCUAGGGUUACCUUUGUAACUAUUUUCAUCAAAAGUCCCAAAUUGCUCUUUAUCAAGGACUCUACCUGACAAAUUAUUGUAUGAAACAUUGAAAGUUUCCAAAAAAUUCAGCUUAAUUAAUUCACUAGGAAUUUCACCAUUCAAACUAUUGUUGCCAAGAUCUAAGCUCUCUAAACUCCUUAAAUUUGAAAAACGGACUGGUAUAGAUCCUGUUAAGUGAUUGUUAGACAAAUUCAAUGACCGAAUUCCAUGCAGGUCUCCCAUUUCUUGAGGAAUUCUUCCACUUAACUCAUUGCAUGAUAAAUCUAUUCCUGCCAUCAAGUUGAUAAUAUCACCCCUAUAAGAGUUGUAUCUAUAUUUCAUUGCAAAUUCCACUUCCACAUAUUCUGAAGAAUCCCAAAGUGCACAAGGCAGAUCCAAGUCAAGAGUGCUAUCUUGGGGAACACAAUCGAAUCCAAUUACGUCUCUAUUAAAGUAAGCAUAACUGACUCCCAUCAUUCUAAAUGAUAUAUUAUUCCCAAAAGAUAUAUUAUUAAAACAUGAAGGUAUGGAACCUGAAAGUAAAUUACUUGAAAGAUCCAUGAUACUCACAUUUCUUGAUUCACACAACUGAUUAGGAAUACUGCCAUGCAAUUCAUUACCUCCCAAUAAAAGCACACGCAAUUCAGAGAGCUGACUGAUCCAAGAUGGAAUAUUUCCAGAAAAACUAUUAUCCCUCACAUCAAGUGCCACUAACUUAGGACUUCUAAGAAGCACAUGGGGUAUGGAUCCAUUUAGACUGUUCUUUUGUAAAAACAGGAAGCGUAAUAAUGAAGCACUGAAGCAAGAAGGCAUAGGCCCAUAUAACCUAUUGUCUGAGAGGUCUAAAAAUUCAAGACUACUCAUAUUACAUAGUUGUCUGGGAAAUAGACCUGAUACCUUAUUAUUGGAUAUGUCCAAAAAAGAUAGGGAGGAGCUGUCCAAGAAGUCCACGCCUAUCAUCACACUGAAGUUGUUGUUUUUCAUAUUCAAUGUCAUCAAGCCGCUCAAGUUCAUAUUUUGAGGUAAAAUGUUCCCCUGAAGAUUAUUGUUUGACAGAAUCAGUGUACAAUCAAAGGUACAAUUUGCAAACAGACUUCCUGGCAACUCUCCUGAGAAUUUAUUAUGGGAUAAAUCCAGAGCAGAUAGUCCUUGUAUCUCACUAAUUGAAGAAGGAACAUUACCGUUGAAAUUAUUUCUUGACAUGUUUAUAUAGAGUAGAUUUGAGAGGACCAAACCAAACUCCUUAGGCAGCACACCAGUGAUGUUGUUGCUCGAAAUAUCAAACUUAAGCAAAUCAUGCUUGUAAUUUGGUAGAUGAAAAGUUCCCGUAAAUGAGUUGUUCAUCAAAUUCAUAACUUGUAACUUGGAGUUAUUUUGUAAGAUCCAAGAGGGGAACGUCCCAAACAGCAUAUUGUGAGAGAGAUCAAUGAAGCGUAUGUCAUGCUGGUAGAGAAGAAAGCUAGGAAAUGUUUUAGUUUGCAAAUUCAGGUUGCAAUUUGGCAAGUCGAUCAACUUCAGUUGAAAUGUAGGAAACCAGGUAGGAUGUUCUGUUUCCAAUUUUAACCUACUACUUCCAGAUGACAGUUGAAAUAUCUCCAAUUUUGAGUGGUUGGCCAAAGUGCUAAAUGAGAAUAAGCCUUCGAAGUCAUUACCAGAAAGAAACAAGUACUUGAGGGAUGUGAGUUUAGAAACAACAGAUUGAAAGUUGCCACUCAACUGAUUGAAUGAAAGAUCAAGAACUUGGAGGUUGGUCAAGUUGCCAAUACAUUCCAGAAGAGGGCCAGAAAAUUGAUUUCCUCCGAGACCCAACUCAACGAGACUUUUGAAUUUGCAUAAUCCUUUAGAGAGGGAGCCGUUGAAUUGAUUGCCUCUUAAAUCCAAUACUUCCAAAUUUGUCAAAUUAUUUAAUUCUUCAAACGAGAAAGAGCCAUUGAAUCGAUUGUAACUCAUAUCCAGCAUUUUCAAAUUUUUCAAAUUAUUUAAUCCUUCAAGUGAGAGGGAACCGUUG